Molecule: ribosomal RNA, 224 nt
Filed under: uncultured Corynebacterium sp.
Lineage: Bacteria; Bacillati; Actinomycetota; Actinomycetes; Mycobacteriales; Corynebacteriaceae
Description: partial 16S ribosomal RNA
Rfam family: Bacterial small subunit ribosomal RNA
Source: RNAcentral
CUCGUAGGUGGUUUGUCGCGUCGUCUGUGAAAUUCCGGGGCUUAACUCCGGGCGUGCAGGCGAUACGGGCUAACUUGAGUGCUGUAGGGGAGACUGGAAUUCCUGGUGUAGCGGUGAAAUGCGCAGAUAUCAGGAGGAACACCGAUGGCGAAGGCAGGUCUCUGGGCAGUUACUGACGCUGAGGAGCGAAAGCAUGGGUAGCGAACAGGAUUAGAUUCCCUAGA